ACGCUGGCGGCGUGCCUAACACAUGCAAGUCGAGCGGGGACAUGCGACGGAGUCAAAGUUUCGGAUGGAGACAAAGAUGUAUGUUCUAGCGGCGGACGGUGAGUAACGCGUGAGCAACCUGUCCUUCACAGGGGGAUAACACAGCGAAAGUUGUACUAAUACCGCAUGAGACCACAACGGGACAUCCCGCAGGGGGUCAAAGGAGCAAUCCGGUGAAGGGUGGGCUCGCGUCCGAUUAGAUAGUUGGUGAGGUAACGGCCCACCAAGUCAACGAUCGGUAGCCGACCUGAGAGGGUGAUCGGCCACAUUGGGACUGAGACACGGCCCAAACUCCUACGGGAGGCAGCAGUGGGGAAUAUUGGGCAAUGGGGGGAACCCUGACCCAGCAACGCCGCGUGAGGGAAGAAGGUUUUCGGAUCGUAAACCUCUGUCCUUGGUGAAGAGGAAGAGACGGUAGCCAAGGAGGAAGCCCCGGCUAACUACGUGCCAGCAGCUGC
This 497-nucleotide ribosomal RNA is filed under the name uncultured bacterium. RNAcentral's name for it is "bacterial SSU rRNA". It matches the Rfam family "Bacterial small subunit ribosomal RNA", at positions 33 to 518 of the family's 1533-position model. The record is from RNAcentral.